GCUUGCUCCAUUAGACUGUAUACUAAAAUUGCAACAACACAGAAAUUACCAUUCCCCUUGCAUAAGGAUGACACACAAAUUUAUGAAGUGUGUUAUAGUUUU
Erinaceus europaeus (western European hedgehog) is the source of this 102-nucleotide non-coding RNA. The record is from Rfam. Lineage: Eukaryota; Metazoa; Chordata; Mammalia; Eulipotyphla; Erinaceidae.